Molecule: long non-coding RNA, 519 nt
Organism: Pocillopora verrucosa
Lineage: Eukaryota; Metazoa; Cnidaria; Anthozoa; Scleractinia; Pocilloporidae
Source: RefSeq, a predicted model, not a curated record
CACGGAGGUCUUCGCCAUGAACAGGUUUCUCCUUAUCGCCGUUUCUGGAUCGGUUCUUGCUAUCUCCUUGGCAUUGAGUAUGACUGAUUAUGGAGUAGAAGAGAACACAGCAGUCUGGAAAGAAACGUUAAGUGACUUUGAUCAGAAUACUGAAGAUGGUUACUUCGAUAAAAACCGACCAGAAGGUUACACUGAUCAUGAAGAUGAGGAGAGAUUAUCAGACCCUGAAUGGCGCAAAAAUAGGCGACGUUCGUACAGAAGGCGGGUAAAGCAGACCAAGGCGAGGCGCACGAGAUUCCGUCCUUGUGGGCUGCGACGCCGGCGGAGAUGUGGAUAACGUUUUUCAUAAGUGGAGAUUUAUCAGCACAGUCCAAACUCGAUGACCAAUAGACACCUUCAAUCAAGAAAAUACAUCUCUGCAGAAUACAUUGCUGUCAUAAAGUAAAACUUUUAGAGAUCAGCUUAUAUAGAUAUGUCAUAGAAUAAAAAUUACAGUGAUGUCUCUUACUCAAAUGUGAA